AAAAAACAAACUGCACCGCCUGGGAGGGGAACUGUAGCCCUGGCCAAAUACAGCAAUUAAGUAAAUGCCUACACGCAGAGAUAGAAAAGACUAGUGGUAAAAAGAAAGUCCUGCGCAUGUACGAAUACGUAAGUUUCUUUGUACCAUGGCAGGAGGAAAGUAAAAAGCGUGAAGAGAAAAGAAACAAAAAGCAAAAUAAACAAAGCGAAAAGCCACCUACCGAAACCACCAAUCCUCCUCUUUGUCAACCACAUCCCUCAGCCCCGGGUCCCCCUGAGACUGAGCAACCAUACCCCCCAAAUCCUUAUCCCCCUGUUUCAAAAAAUCCCUUUGUGAAACCACAAGACCCUUAUGUCUCAGCGAGACAACAACUGGACCUAAUGACCCGCGAAGACCCACCGCCAUGGCCUCCAGGCCCGUUAGGGCAAUUUCCGUUAAUUCAGGCGCCAAACCCAGAUUACGGAAAAAUAGGAGAAACAAAACAAAAAGAAAACGAGUCUGCCUCUGACUUCCUAGACAGACUACGACCAGUCUUUAGACAAAACUCAGGCCUACCUACAUGUGUGCAAGCCUGUGCAGCAGCAGCAGAGGCUGUUAAAAAAUCUGCCGACAUUGUUUUGGGACACAAGCUGAUUAUCAAGGUCCCACACGCAGUAACUUCAAUACUACUACAGGCUAAUCUUUCUUAUCUAACACAUGCAAGACAGCUCUCCUACGUAGGCAUCCUGCUCUCACAGUCACACAUCACUGUUGAAAAGUGUGGUCAGCUAAACCAAGGCACCCUGCCCUCAACAAAAGCAGAGUGGAUGACAAAACUACUGGAAAACAAAGAAAUAGUUUUGAGCAACCAACUGCCGCGUGAUUCUCUCCCAGUCUCUUCCAGGUCCUGCUCACAACACCCACAGCAUGCAAGAUUGCUGAACGACCCUCGUGGAUUCAUCAAAGCCACACAAAGAAGGUUGAACCAAUCCAAGACCCACCAACAUCUCCUUAAAGUGAGUGAUAAGUUUAGACUCUGGUCCUCCCCAACCUCUAGUGUUC
Long non-coding RNA from Oreochromis aureus, 1041 nucleotides. The record is from Ensembl. Lineage: Eukaryota; Metazoa; Chordata; Actinopteri; Cichliformes; Cichlidae.